Molecule: ribosomal RNA, 469 nt
Filed under: uncultured bacterium
Lineage: Bacteria
Description: partial 16S ribosomal RNA
Rfam family: Bacterial small subunit ribosomal RNA
Source: RNAcentral
GGACUAACGCUGGCGGCGUGCUUAACACAUGCAAGUCGAACGGAAAGGCCCUGCUUUUGUGGGGUGCUCGAGUGGCGAACGGGUGAGUAACACGUGAGUAACCUGCCCUUGACUUUGGGAUAACUUCAGGAAACUGGGGCUAAUACCGGAUAGGAGCUCCUGCUGCAUGGUGGGGGUUGGAAAGUUUCGGCGGUUGGGGAUGGACUCGCGGCUUAUCAGCUUGUUGGUGGGGUAGUGGCUUACCAAGGCUUUGACGGGUAGCCGGCCUGAGAGGGUGACCGGCCACAUUGGGACUGAGAUACGGCCCAGACUCCUACGGGAGGCAGCAGUGGGGAAUAUUGCACAAUGGGCGGAAGCCUGAUGCAGCAACGCCGCGUGCGGGAUGACGGCCUUCGGGUUGUAAACCGCUUUCGCCUGUGACGAAGCGUGAGUGACGGUAAUGGGUAAAGAAGCACCGGCUAACUACGUG